GCCCGUCCAAAGGGGAAAAACGCGUCGUUUUUUAGGAAAAGGGGAAAAUUACAAAUUCAGUCUUUUUUAUGUAAUGAUAUUUAUCAUAUGAAUACACAUGUAUGUAUGAAUGCAAUAUUCACAGCUGAAUGUCUCUGUCCUUUUUCUUAAAUACAUAUCAAUGAUUGUUUCAACAUUAGUUUCAGACAGUUCAGCCGUCAUGCACAGUCUCAGUUUUCCUAGCCAAUUUCAGUCUAAUUGGAAUUUUUUUAAUCGAUAAAAUGGCAAAUUUGAGCAUUUUUAACCAGGUUUUCCGAAGGAAAAAACUGGUUAUUAGAUUGGCGAAUGCGGGCGGGCUGGCUGGCUGGCGGGCUGGCUGGCUGGCUGGCUGGCUGGCGGAAUAAGCUUGUCCGGGCCAUAACUAUGUCGUUCAUUGUCAGAUUUUUAAAUCAUUUGGCACAUUUGUUCACCAUCAUUGGACGGUGUGUCGCGCGAAAUAAUUACGUCGAUAUCACCAAGGUCAAGGUCACACUUUGAGUUCAAAGGUCAAAAAUGGCCAUAAAUGAGCUUGUCCUGGCCAUAACUAUGUCAUUCAUUGUGAGAUUUUAAAAUCAUUUGGCACAUUUGUUCACCAUCAUGGGACGGUGUGUCCCACGAAAGAAUCACGUCAAUAUCUCCAAUGUCAAGGUCGCCACGACUAAAAAUAGAUUUAAAAAAAAAAAAAAAAACUUACAAAG
This is a long non-coding RNA of Dreissena polymorpha, 716 nucleotides long. RefSeq lists it as uncharacterized. Lineage: Eukaryota; Metazoa; Mollusca; Bivalvia; Myida; Dreissenidae. The transcript is spliced from 2 exons. The record is from RefSeq and is a predicted model, not a curated record.